Molecule: long non-coding RNA, 7469 nt
Filed under: Androctonus crassicauda
Lineage: Eukaryota; Metazoa; Arthropoda; Arachnida; Scorpiones; Buthidae
Source: RNAcentral
ACUGCACUUCCAAAAACAUACUCGGGAUGCCCUGCACGUCCGAAUUUAAAUAUAAGGAAACCUAAUACAGCUUCUACCGUCUUACGUCGAUGUCGGAGGUAUUCCCCCUGUUCCGUAGAGACGCGAUGCAGACAGUUAAUGUGACGUCACGAAUCGAUACACCAUCCGGGUCACCAGCGCGAGGUGGAAGACUCCAAGUUUCCGUUAUUGCAGGAACAAUCCGUCGCCGGCGGAAGAUUUCUGUUUGGAUAUCGCAUAGAAGGAAAAGAAAAGAGGGAUUAUCCGUAGGAAGACGUUGGCGUAACUAACUGAAAUGUGUGUCUGACUCACUUCUGUACGUCCUCCUCCACCCACGACUCAGGAAUGCCCGAAGUUCUCACGUGCUGCAUCAGGUGCUUGUGACUGGGCUGUCGAAGUCAGGUACCUGAAGUAGUGCGCGGAGAAAUUCGGGUCUGUGACCACCACUCCGCUCUUCCAGAUUCAAGUCGACGUCCGGGGGUGGUGAGUAUAGCUACUUUCUUCUCCUUUCUUUCUAGUGUGUAGAUAUUUUGUGAUUCAAAAAAUGUAUUAUUUUUGAUGCAAUUUCCAGAAUAUUUUUUUUUUGCUAGUCGCAAUUAGACUCGAAUUCAUUACGUGUGACUAGUAGAUGACACUCGACGUUAGUAUGCGAGUUAAAAUCCAAUUUGUGUAUAGGUGAUGGUUCUUAAGGGACUUCUUACAGAUUUACAUUGCUGUUUCACCUCUGUUCGAUAUUGGAAUUACCAUCAGAAGAAUUUAUACGAUUUUGAUUCGAUUCUUUCUGAGAAUGCGGCCAAGUUUCGUGUUGAACUUGUAGUUUUUUUUUUUAACGCUACAAGUUCACAGAAUCAGUUAUUUCCAGCGUCAUUUUUAAGAAAGGACGGUAGUUAAAAAGAAGCAAAAAAAAAAAAGUAGAAAGAGUAGUGCGGAUUAUAUACGCAUCGACUGGGUUAUUCAUUUUCACAGACAACCGCCGAUAUACACAAACAGAAAGUCUGACGGGACAUAAAUAAACGUUAGAGGUGUGGCAUUGCCUGUCUGGGUCUCACAACCCGAGUCUAACCUGAAUACUGACUGUACUUGUACCGUCCUCUGACUCAUACACCCUGACACACGUCAUUGCAAGUGCCCACGCGUUUGUUGCGUGUUUCCGGGACACUUUGGGUUGCGUGUCGACUCGCGACGCCAGCCAGUCACCGUCGGGACAGAAGCGGUUCGUGUCUUUGUGCUUUCCUUCUUAACCAGGUGUUCCGUUUUAAGAGAUGUUCAGCGGUGAGUCUUUUAUCCGCGUAUCUGGCAGAAAUCUUAAGUAAUUGGGGGUUAUUAAACCGAUAAAUGAUCUUGGGAUUAUCUCUGGUUUUUCCCCCAAAAGUAUAUUUCAAAUACUUUUUUUCUUUGUCUUCAGGCUGAUGACACACUGUCCCAAUUUUCCGACACGGGAUGUUGCAAUUGUUCGAAGUGUUGCGUAUAUCGGAGAAGACGUGAACCCGACGAAUAAUGAGGCAAUUUAAAAACUAUAAAUCAUGACAUUAAUUCAUUCAUAAUUUGGUUAAUUAUUUUUAUGGGAAUGUUCGUCGUUUUUUUACCUAUUUUUGGAAUUUUCGCCGCCUUUUUUUCUGCUAGAUUGUUUUUUGUAUAUAUAUAUUUUGGAUUUUUUUAAUCCCCAAAACAUACGAAUAUAUUUUUAAAAUAAAAAAAAAAUAUAUAUGAUGCGGUGACAGAUAUGAAUAAAAUGUAACCAAAAUGACUUCUUUAUCGGCGUAAUAUCUAAAAGUUCUCAGACGUGGUAUCGUCUAUUAACCGGAAAUCCGGAUGUCAGGCAUUAUCUACUUUUAGACAAUAGAUCACAGUUUCUUAUAAGAAACUGCUCAGAGCUAUUCUGGAAUUGUGGCCUAUAUAGCGAGUCAGAUCCUGUCUUGUGUACACUGUCCAGACCAGACAUUCCCAACAGUCUAGCUGCAGUUCUAUUACUGCGGUGUCAUUGACCGCUCGUGUGUCGGGUUACCGUACUCGCACCGAAUAUCUGGAGUUGUUGCUGCCGCUGCAGUAACAUCUUACAGUCUGAAUGACAAUCCGUUCGCAUUUAACACGCCAUAAACGUGGAGUGUGCGCGAAAUAUUCGUUCCUUUUUUUUCUCUCUUAUGCCUUUAACUGCGGUGUUUUUUUUUCUAGUUUGAGGUUCGAACGGACGUGGCAGUUUUGGUAAAUCGUACAGAACAGGUGUUCUGUAGUACAGAAAUGCAGCGGUUCCCCCCUCGUCAUUUUCAAGAUCACCGACCACUCUGUUAUGAUUGGUUUUAAAUAGGCACGUGCUAAAGCCGGAUGUCGGAGGGUACCACUUCCGGUCGGUUACUCCAUUAAAGGCAGCUGCGUUGAAAUGACGUCAGCCAACACGUGUGGACUCGUGUUAGAACAAUUUAGAAGAAGGGGAGAGGGGAAAAAAUCGGGGACAUCUCUGAAGGCUAUACGAAAUCUUCACCUGAUUGCACACAACAGGUGUUCGCGUGGCACCACCAAUUUCUCGUCCACCUCCCCAGAAAAGAGGGGUGUAAAUUAUCCUGGAAAAUAUCCCCAGUGCCGGUUAGGUUGCGUCUGUGGCUUUCACCUCUUCCAAUAAAUAUACCUGUUUGAUUACCUCCCCCGUCUGUCUGGGAAGUUUCCUUCUCGCUCUCCUACCUGUCUGUCCCACCGAUGAAUGGACAGAUUAGAUAGCUUUUUAUAACUCUAAUAACUUAUUCUAUUUAUAGCUCAUCGUUUACUAGGCGGGAGAGGCGCUUCUAGACCGUUUAAUCUCUCUUAAUUACUAAGCAGUGGGGGAAUUUUGGGCAUUUUUAAACAUAGACGAAACACGUAACUGUGCAAUUUAGUGUCUGCGUUCGCUACGAUUGUCACCUUCGCCCGCCACCAGUUGAUUGUACUUCAUUAGGUGCUCUGGUGUGUGGGAUCCAGGCAUCUCAUGGAGUGCAAAUGAUAGGUGGUUGAUUUACAACGUUGGAUUAUCGAUCAAAUUUGCAUCUUACUCGUUAGUACCGCAUUACCCGCUGUCUAAUGCAUGAUACAAUAGGGUAGAAGUAGAUUUCGGUCCAUGCAAAAACAUUUCGACUGCUCUUAAUCAUUUUGGCACCGAUUUUUUUUUUUUAAGUUUAAAAAGGAAAAAAAUGUAUUCGGUUUCUUUUGAUUCCAAAGAGCUGCGCCGUGUUUUAGGAUGAUUAAAUAAUAGUCUCGAAAUAAAUUUAGUUAGAAACGACUUAUCUCUCUAGGACAUUAAUGAAAUUAUGGGAUUAAUCGUCUUAAGGACUGCUCUGAGAUUUAACUAACACAGUUCGUACGAAAAUAUAUUAAAACAUUUUGGAACAUUUUAUAAUAUAACAAGAUUAAAUGAUAUUCUGUUAUGUGUAUACAUAUUUUUUCCGUUCUAAUGUUGCUCUGGCUGAUGUCAGUUCAGUAGUAUUUGUUGCAGUUUUUGUUCAAUAUUCUGAGUGACUAUAUCUUCCAGGCUCAUUCCGGUAAUUUUGUACACCGAUACCUUUAUCUCUCCUCUUCCUUUGCUAUUUAAAAAGAAAACUUCUAUCGCUCCGACCAACGUCUGUUCUACCUUUCAGAAAAAUAUCCAAAAAUGGAAAGGAAAUUAUUAGUGCGCUUAAUGCCGAUAGAUAAAGAAAUGAUUUUUGUUAAAGUGGAUUUUGAGUAACGAUACGAGAUGAUGUGAAGUUGGUCUUUCAUUCAUUUUGCUGCGUCCUUGACUUCAUCCCACAAUAUUAGAGAAUUUUAAUUUAGCCUCCUCCUACGUGGGAUUUUUAAACAAAUCUCCUUAUGUCAUUUAAACAUUUCGCGUUCGUGUUCCACAGAUAAUAAACAUAAAUAGGUAGGUGUAACUUCUUUAUUUUUAUAGUAGCAAAAAGAUUUUUUUUUAUUGAUGUAAAUUGCCGUAACAAGGUCAAAACCGAUCAUGUGACCAAAACAUCAAUAUUGGUUAACUAUUUUUAUACGCGACGAUGUCAUAAGGUUACUGAAUCUGUAAUCCCGAGUAUUUUGUUGUGUAUAUAUAACGUCAUGGUUGAUUUACACGUAUGGAAGGGGGAACAUGACUAGUUCGUUGGCACAUGAGUUUCAACAUUCGCAGAAAGAGGUUGUGCAACAUUGAGUCAUUCCUCGAAAUUUUCUCGUGAAAAUACUGAUGGCUUAAAAAACAUACUUUAAGCAUCUUUUGUGACCUUCUAGAGGAGAAAUUCUAAUUAUGUCCUUUAUUCUAUACAUUCCUUGCUGUUUAGAAAGUUUGCAGAUUAAGAGCGAAACGUUUGAUGGACUUAAAACUCUACAAAAUCGCGAAUAAAAUGUUUUUUGGGCAUAGACAGGAUAUUCCAGUCUAAAAGCGGCUCGAUAGUGUUUUAUACCUCUUUAAGUUCACGCUUUAGAGAGAUUAUUAUAGUUGAAGGAUCAUGCGGUACUUGUGAGAAGGCGCCAUACUAUAAAGUUUUUAUUGCUGAGCAGCGCAAACUCGUUCGAUGUUUAUUUUAAGACGAAGAUGUAUUAAUUUCCAGCUAAUUGUAUUAAGCAAUAAAAUAUUGCAGGCGUUUUUACAAAUAAAUAUUCCGAUGUCCACCGCAAUUCCUGCGAACCUAUAAAUGCCACAUUGACUAAUGAUAACUCUUAGAAGACUUAAAUAAUCGGAAUGCUCGUCAUAAAUUGCACUUUUUAAACUCUUGACGUUUAACUGGAAACAAGUCGUCGGUGAUGUAGCACCUGCUAAGCAGUUAAGAAACAAAUAGCUUGUUCACCAAUGUAAAUAGAUGGUUUUGGUAAAAACAGCAUUUCUUACUCAUAUUUUACCGAUAAAAACUUUUAAUUUAUUAUAUUUACGUUACCAUAAAUCACGCCAUUGCUGCCGGAAUUCGAAAUUUUUAAGGCGUUAAGUUAGUUAAAAAUUGAAACGCUAAAAGCAAAUUGUGUAUCCUGUUGCAAAAGAAUUUUUUUCUGUGGGUCCCGUCUCCAGAGCGAAACGUGUUCUUUAAUUAGGAUUCUAAAAUAGGCUAAAGUGAGCGGCAGUUUAUGAUGCGAAGAAUUCAAUUUAUGUGAGGUGUGAAAUAUCGUCCCACAAAUUUUCGGAAGCGGGUCGCGAUGUGGGUGCUGAGGAAAAGCAUUCCUGCCAAAUUCUUUAGACUACCUACAAACUGUUCUUUCUGCAGUUCGCCCACAUAAAUAAUGCGGGCGAUUUACAUAACGAGUCAUCGCUGGUAUCAUCCGAAGGUCGUACAGUAGGCUCCACUUAAUACAAUAAAUUGCAACUCAAUUUGUCAUUCGCAUGUUGAGAAUACGAUCCUCUGUCAUGAGAUUCCGCUCCUACUCCAUUCGCUUGUUUUAAAGGCGGUUCGUCUUCAUUAAUAUUAAUAUGGCAUUUAGUAAUUAAUAAGUUGUUUAUGAACGAUUUAAACGCUCUUGUAAUGCUUUUAUGAUCACUCAUCUCUCCGAUUCUCUUUCGAAUGUUUUCGAAGAAUUUUAAUUUAAUUAGAAAUCGGGAUGUUUCUAUUUAAAAAAAAAAAAUUAAGAUUAUCUUCUCUUUUAAGGCUUUUAAGAAGUCAUCCAACGAAUGGCCGUCUCAUCAGUUCCUCUCCAUUUUGGUAGAAGGUAUUCCAUUUUAAAAGGCGAGAACGCUAUGCCAAGAAGUCUUCUCUUUAAUCAUUUGGAUGGAGCUUUAAAGACCCAUUAACAUUGAAGGACACUUAUUAACCUCUCGUAGAAAUCGUGUCUCUGGUUAAAAGUAAAGCGCUGUUUAUGUCUCCACGCAGUGUAAAGAUCUCGUUCAGAGGUUCCAUCUUCAGACUUCAAUCUCAAAAUAGAAAGUUGCUCAGAUUUUGGCCAAUUGCGAGAUUGUUGCAAAUUUUUGAGUAAUAGUUACGUUUUAUGUUAGUCAUACAAUGAAAUUAGGAAAGUUGUAAAUAUAUAUCAUUUUUGAUAAAAUUGCGAAUAUUUAAAAAUUAGUUGCAAGAAACGAAUGUUAGAUAUAUUCACAAUAAAACUGUUUUUCUAAGGCCUAAUUCAUAUCUACUGUAUCGUUAUUCUCUAUGGCAAUUUCCAGAAUGAUUGAGAAAGUGAAUAAAUAAGGAACUCUUCUACUUUGUUUGCUCCACCUCUCCAAUCUAGCUUAGUGACUUCUUUCUAUAAUAUCCCUGCCCUGAUCUCUAACCCAAGAUAUUACUGCGACGGAAGUAGAAAAACGUGAGAUAGGAAAAGUGAUGAAGUGCAAAAGGUUUUUCCAAGAUUCGAUUCAUGAGUUCAGAAGACUAUCUCUUAGCCAACCUAACUAAGCAAGGAUAGACAAGAAAAUUACACGUUUUGGGUCCUACUGUCGUAUAGACCUUGAACACAACAGGAAGUUCCGGUUUUUCUGUCAGACUUUUGGAUAUCCGGUUGUUUCGUUUGAUAUGUUGCAUCGUAUUGGAAACCCGUAUCCAGCUCAAUAGGGGAUCGCACAAAAGGUCAAGAUCCUCCUGUCUACCUCGCUCGAGCUUAUUCCAGUCACCUACUGAGAUGCCGUAAAAAUACUUAAAUCCUUUUUACCCAACCUCACUAACUGCGUAGCUUUAUUAGUCCUUGAUUUAUCCUUGAGGGUGCGUCAAAACAUGUUACAGACUCCUAGAUAUUCAAAACUGCAAACAUGUCUUCCGAAAACAGUAGCUUUUCUAAUUUAGGAAAUUCCAAUUAACCCAGAUUAAUGGAGGCCAAAAUUUCUCUCGUUUGGCUUUCCAUUAUCGUACAUUUUAAUGGCGUUUAAUCGUAAAACGAAUACUUACAAAAAUCGAACACCAUUCUCCCUUUAAGGCAUCUUAUAAAAAUUCAAAAAUUGGCAUGAAAUCUUUUUUCUAUCCCUUUUUAACAUGCUGAACUGGUCGCAACAAUUUCGUAUUUAAAGACAGUUUAAAUAAAUUCUCUUUGAACAAUACACAAAAUUAUAUUCGGACCUUCCACAACGCUGCUUCCCGUUCCCAUUAAUUUUUCUUAUCCAAAAAAAUGUUAUAUAUGUAAAAAUCCAAAAUGCGAUAUGCAAAACAGUGACCAAAAAUUGGUUUAUAUUAACUACACCCCCUAUUUAAUGUUUUUUUUGCGCGGGUUCUGCAUACAAAUAAAUUCGUGCAUGGCAUUAAUUUGGUUUGCGCGACCCAUACCAAUAGAAAUUCUGGAAAGAAAGAAACACAAAUUUCUUUGUAUGACGAUAAUGUACUCAUCUCUUUGCCAUCUGGAAAGUUUCCAGUUUCCAACGAAAUCUCUCCAUUCACUUGUAAAAGUAAAGGACGAUGCCACCUUGUUAUCGAUCCUUUGCCAUUUCACCCAAGAAUUUAAUUUACGCAUUUUGAAUAAAUAUACGUUUACACUCCAUUUGUCAUGAUAAAAGGCCUAUCUGUUGAAUAGCAAUACUAAAAGAUUUCUGUCUGUUGAGCAAUAAUUAUUGUUGG